RNAcentral lists this transfer RNA (67 nucleotides) under pig gut metagenome. It matches the Rfam family "tRNA". Rfam says of the family: Transfer RNA (tRNA) molecules are approximately 80 nucleotides in length. Their secondary structure includes four short double-helical elements and three loops (D, anti-codon, and T loops). The record is from RNAcentral.
GGUAUAGCUUAGUUGGUUAAAGCGCUGGUUUGUGGCACCAGAGACCAUCGGUUCAAGUCCGAUUAUC